This 72-nucleotide microRNA precursor is filed under the name Jaculus jaculus (lesser Egyptian jerboa). RNAcentral's name for it is "microRNA 141 (ENSJJAG00000003561.1)". It matches the Rfam family "mir-8/mir-141/mir-200 microRNA precursor family". From Rfam's summary of the family: The bounds of the precursors are predicted based on conservation and base pairing and are not generally known. The record is from RNAcentral. Lineage: Eukaryota; Metazoa; Chordata; Mammalia; Rodentia; Dipodidae.
GGGCCCAUCUUCCAGUGCAGUGUUGGAUGGUCUAAACGCGAAGCUCCUAACACUGUCUGUUAAAGAUGGCCC